CCCUUAGAUGUUCUGGGCCGCACGCGCGCUACACUGAUGCAUUCAACGAGUUUCUUCCUGGUCCGAGAGGAAUGGGUAACCUUUUGAAAGUGCAUCGAGAUAGGGAUAGACUAUUGCAAUUAUUGGUCUUCAACGAGGAAUUCCUAGUAGACGUAGUUCAUCAGACUGCAUCGAUUACGUCCCUGCCCUUUGUACACACCGCCCGUCGCUCCUACCGAUUGAAUGCUCAGGUGAGCCAUUCGGACUUUCAUCAUGCUGGUUUCCAGUUUUGAUGAAGGAAAGUCUUGCGAACCUUAUCAUUUAGAGGAAGGAGAAGUCGUAACA
This 324-nucleotide ribosomal RNA is filed under the name uncultured eukaryote. RNAcentral describes it as "partial 18S ribosomal RNA". It matches the Rfam family "Eukaryotic small subunit ribosomal RNA", at positions 1470 to 1796 of the family's 1831-position model. The record is from RNAcentral.